AUGUUACUUGACCUUUUUCCCUUACUA
RNAcentral lists this non-coding RNA (27 nucleotides) under Mus musculus (house mouse). RNAcentral also lists the same sequence under 1 other name. Lineage: Eukaryota; Metazoa; Chordata; Mammalia; Rodentia; Muridae. The record is from RNAcentral.